RNAcentral lists this long non-coding RNA (703 nucleotides) under Androctonus crassicauda. The record is from RNAcentral. Lineage: Eukaryota; Metazoa; Arthropoda; Arachnida; Scorpiones; Buthidae.
GCAAUUUAAUAAAUACCGGAUAAAAAUUCAGUACUCUACUUUCAUAAUGAUACUCAUAACUGUUUUAUUGCAUUCAUAGUCUCUGCUGCCCUUUAAAAUCUUGUUGCAGAAAUUUUUUUUUUAAAUUGUAAAACCAUUCAAUAAUUUUAACAUGCGUUUGAGGUUUCCUAUUAUCGAUAGUUUCUAGGCAUUCGCAUGUUGUGCUAGUGGAUAACCCUGAACGAUAAUGACCGAUAUAAAUUUAUUAAUGUUAAAAUUGAAAAAUAAAAAAUUUCAAUUAAUUUACAUAAUGUUUAUUGUAGCAUACCCUUCCUUAUGGGGUUAUGCAAGAAUUUGUCUCCUGAAGACGAGAAGCGCGAAAACAGAAUUUGAGGAUGAAGCGCCGCGAGCCCGCCAAGCAGUCCGGAUCCGUGUAGAAGCCCACAAGCGAGCCCUCUGUGAAGGACCUCGGAGCCACCAAUGACAGGUGACUCCUUUACUCGCCUUUUACGACACGUGGGAUCGGACGGUUGGCAUAUUCUAACACCCUUUAUCUACAGGGGUAAUUGCAGCAUAUCUCGGACGAGAUGUAUUUAUUGGUAAUACAGUAUAUUGAAAAGUAUCAUAACAAUUUAAUUCAAUAUUGACGGCAUCCAUUGUAGAAUAUUUUUUAUUUAAUUAAUUCUUUUUUCAUAGUUAGAAUUUAUGGUGUGUUCUAUUAAAU